Polypterus senegalus (gray bichir) is the source of this 573-nucleotide long non-coding RNA. RefSeq lists it as uncharacterized. Lineage: Eukaryota; Metazoa; Chordata; Cladistia; Polypteriformes; Polypteridae. The transcript has 2 exons. The record is from RefSeq and is a predicted model, not a curated record.
UGUACUGUUUCACAUUACUGGUAAACUAGGAACAGAAAAUGCAAAUUUCUACAACAGUGAUCCUUCUAGGCAAUUUAUACUUGACAUUCCAUGCCAUCUGCUAAAGGCUGUCCGUACUGUAGAUUGUUGUUUUUAACAUAAGCACCAAGUAUUUUACAAGUCAAUGUCGUCAUAUCUUUGUAAUAGUCCCUAAAAUGUGAUUUAUUUUUACAGACCUUUUCCAUGUUUUCUUUUCAGAUGUCUAGGACAUACUUACAUAUACCACUCUAGGACCUUUGUGGCAGACACCCCGCUGGACCCCCUCUGAUCUCUCAAGCCAGGGUGAAGAGAAAAAAGGAAAAACCGGGGUCACACUGGCCGUAGCCUAUCCCAGGAACCUCCCAAUGCACUAUAAAGUUAUGCACUUAUGAGAUGGGGAGACUGUGCAGAUUCAACAGCAUUCUGAUUGGUCCAUUCGAGCAGUGCACAGCAUAUCCAGGUGAGAGAUCUACAAUACCCUCUUCAAUGUCAUGGUGGCUCUACAGUGCCGGAAGAUUUAGGUAAAUUGGAUGUGAAAAAGUUUUUUUAAAAAAA